GGGAGGACAAUGGACGGCCGGCUGGGCCUAAGGCCAAAAGAAAAGAGGCUGAGCUCAAGCCUCUUUUGCUGCUCUUCCUUCUGGGAUCAAGAUCAGGACCAGGAGCGUAUCCAGGCGGCCGGACUGAGAAUGAAAUGAGAGAAGAAUGCAUCACGGAAACAUGGAGGCAGAGCAAAGAAAGGGAAGUCCAGCAAAGGUUUUUUCAGCGCCAUCAAAGUGGAGUUGAGUGUGGCUUGAUGGAACGCCAGACAUGUGCAAAGGCUGGGGCAGGUUCCACAAGGGUCUCUCCAUGUUUGAAUGGCAGAUCCAAGUCAGUCACAAGGCUCUUUCUUUUCCUCUGAGCGCUGAGGGCAGGAUGAGGCCACCUUCCUCCGCUGUGUGAAGAUACAGCACUUUCUUGGCCUUCCAGCUAGAGGCCUUCAUGCUCUCCAUGCUAAUGAGAAAACCUCACAUCUGUUCCUUAAACCAAAGCAAUCUGCUUGCACCCAUGACUGGUGCCUUUCCCCCACCCCUCCCUUGUCUGCCUGAGCUUAUGCACAAGGAAAAAGAAGAGAAACCCUUCAGGUGGGGGGGGGGCAGCAGUAUGUAGCAAGCAGGUGUUUGGCAAAGGUUGCCUCAGACUUGAAGGCUGAACUUGAGUCCAGGAAAGGAGGGUUGAAAUCUCAUCUCUCCAAAAAUGGAAAGAAGAAGAAGUCCCAGCAAAAGAAGGAUGGAUACAAAAACUUAUGGAACAUGGUGAAACUU
Long non-coding RNA from Podarcis muralis (Common wall lizard), 744 nucleotides. RefSeq lists it as uncharacterized. The record is from RefSeq and is a predicted model, not a curated record. NCBI's taxonomy places the organism in Eukaryota, Metazoa, Chordata, Lepidosauria, Squamata, Lacertidae.